UGUUUUCGCGCCCAUCAAAGCGUCAGCAAUUACCGUGAAUAAUUGUACCUAUUAUUUUUAGCUGUGUAUGCGUGCGGUUAAAACUUUUCUUAUUGAGAUCUGUAAUUUAAAGUAUCUUUUCAAGACGAUAUUCAAGGAAUUAAUUUGGCUCCCGGUUGAUUAGUCAAUCGACAAUAUAGUGUACUGUGUCUUAACAUACAGAAGUGCUUUAUUACGUUUGAGAAUACGAUCUUUCAAUUUUCAUGUUUUGUGUUGGAUUCGAUCGAAAUUUAUCAGGUAAGCAACAAUUUAGCUGACUGUAUUAAUAUCUAAUUGAACGUUUGGGGCGAAAAAAUAAUUUAUUGAAACUUUUUUUAGAAUGUCUGACGAAAAUAGUCAGAACCAGGGAGAGUCUUAUCCGAUUGGCAUGUUUCUGAAUGAAUUUGACGAGAAAGGAGAGGUAUUAGUAGAAGUUGUGCCAUCAUCGUAAACCAUCUUGGCCACGGAUGAGCAAUUGACAUGCAAAUGGCUAGAAAAGGAGGCAAAUGAAUCCUACACAUGGGGGACGUAGGCUAGAAUACGCCUAGAAUAAAUGUCCUGGAUUGGAAUCCACUGACUCAGAGUCUUCACACCAGCAGUCUUUCCUUAGGUCGAAUGACAUGGCAACAACAAUGCUUUGCAAUAACCGAUCCCUUCUCUUACCUUCUGUAGGUGAAGAGACCCUGGCAGAAACUAUCCAGGAGGCAAGUGCAGACGUUGACAACUCAGUGCCACGUAACGAGGGGUCAAAUUUGCCAACAUCUGCUGGUAUUAGUCGAAAUCUAAGAAAUGGUUGAUUGCCUACUUCAAGACCUCAAAAAAAUGACGCCCAAUUUGCCUAUGAGACAGUUGAGACUUUACGCGCCCAAGCAAAUGCAGAAUUAAACGGAAUGAAUAAUCUUGAAUAAUUUCUAUGGUCAAUUUAGUGAUAAUUUUCCACUAAAUAUUUGAUUAUUUGUAGAAUUCCUAACAGAAUUCCAUACAUUGACGCAGGAGCCAAAGUUAUUUUGCAAAACUUGUGAAAUUGUAAGAUUGUAAAACGAAGUUUGCAAUGCGAUAGUGAAAAGAUAUUUUACAAUUUAACGGUAUCUAUGAAUAGAAAAACAACUGUUGAUGGAGCAAAGGAAAGAUUUUAUACAGGCAAUCUCAGAAAAUUUUGAGAAACACAGAUAACAGCAGAAAGCACUGAAGAAACAGCAGACUCUAGAAUUUCUUCGAAAACAUGAUACAAGACUCAGGAAGUUACGAGGCUGAUAUAAAAAAUAUUCUAGGCAGACUACUAGCAAAGGCUGCGCAAGUCAACUAUAGUACAAUGGGGAAGCAGGUUCCAGAUGUCGCAAAAUUAAAAUUUGUAGAUACCAGAAUAUAUUCCCGCAUGGAAGAUAUUUUUCUCGUUAUUUAUCUUCUUGCCAGUACUUAUAUUGUUAUGGUUUUUUCAUUAAUUUUCUGUGGCUUGAUUAUAUUUUCCAAAAAUACUGAACGUAAACUAUGAAAUGCGUAAUUACUCCUUCAAAAUUCGCAGCGUUAUCAAUUACUGAUUAUCUGCAACUACGGACAGAGAAGGUGGCUAUGCAAAAAGGAAAAAAAACAGCCACAGUAGUUUUUUUUGUUAGUUUGAAUGGCA
Diachasmimorpha longicaudata is the source of this 1642-nucleotide long non-coding RNA. RefSeq lists it as uncharacterized. Lineage: Eukaryota; Metazoa; Arthropoda; Insecta; Hymenoptera; Braconidae. The record is from RefSeq and is a predicted model, not a curated record. The transcript is spliced from 3 exons.